RNAcentral lists this ribosomal RNA (89 nucleotides) under Chlamydomonas reinhardtii. Its description in RNAcentral is "large subunit L2a". Lineage: Eukaryota; Viridiplantae; Chlorophyta; Chlorophyceae; Chlamydomonadales; Chlamydomonadaceae. The record is from RNAcentral.
AACAGCUAUAAUUUAGCGUACCUUUUGCAUUAUGGGUUAGCUACUCAAUAGACGUGAGUUAAGCAGAAAGCUUACUGAGAUUUUUUUAU